Molecule: long non-coding RNA, 544 nt
Organism: Sitodiplosis mosellana (orange wheat blossom midge)
Lineage: Eukaryota; Metazoa; Arthropoda; Insecta; Diptera; Cecidomyiidae
Exons: 3
Source: RefSeq, a predicted model, not a curated record
AGUUUCACAGAAUACCAAGGCUUGGUGGUGACGAGCUCAGAGCUUCUUUUCAGCAGAAAAUCGAAAGUUACACUGAACAACGGUUCGCUGAGUUUUACAAGCAAAACGAGAGAAAGCGAGUGGAUUAUAUCAUAAAUGCCAAUUUGCUCAAUGAAAGACUAAGCGAAGAAAUAAAUGGAUCAGUCCAAAGAAAAAUGAUGGAAGAAAUACAAAACUCCAGUUCUGAAUUGAACCAUUCUUACUUGAAUGUUAUGUUUCAGUCAGCAAAAGAGAGUGCUUUACAAGAGUUUGAUUCUCGGAAGAUGGGUGACUCUGACUUCGCAAAGAACUCUCGUGAGCGACUUAAAUAUGACUUGAACGAUUUGCAACAUGCGCUGAGCUACGUGCUGAAUUUAUAUGACCAUUGUUUGCAACAGUACAGCAACUCAAUGUGGCAUUCUCUCAAUGAAAUCGAGUAUUUUGACGAGGAUGGUUUCAGGAUACUGUAUCAAAACUCGAAGAAUGAAUCCAUUCAACGGGUUUGUUUUACAAUUGUCUAUCUUUA